UCAGUUUGUAAAAUGUGAUCCAUCUUGAAUUUCGUUCUUGGUUAAAAUUUAAAAAAAUAUUUUAAAUAGAUACAUACAUUGUGACGAGUGAGACUAAUACACAUAAUCCCGAUACGAUUUUAUACAUGUACAUAAAGUACAACGGAAGCUUUCACUUUAAGCGAAACAUAAUUAUUUAAUCAGCUCAAUAAUUCGUCUUCAGCAUAAUUCGUAAUUAACCGGUGGAUAUUUCGUUUUUAACGAAGUAUUAAACUUUAUUGAGGAAUUUUCAUGCAGCUAAAAUUGAAACAGGAAUAUGUACCAAUUCCUAAUUGAAAAACGUGACAAGGCUGGUAACUUCGCAACAACUUUAAAAUAAAUUAAAGAUUUUCUGAAGAAUAAUCUAUGUAAUUCAUAUCCUAACUCAAACUCAACCAGUCCAUGAAGUUCGUCAUGUUUUCAUCACCACCAGGGACAUUUUCAACUGACGGAGAGUCCUCCCACCAGUCACAAUGGAAAACUAUAAAAAUUGGAUAGCGGAGAUUUUGUUCCGGUUAAUUAGCUAAGACACCUUCCCAUAAUUAUCCUCUCUUCACUGCAUAUAACUUAUGUAGAUUUAUCGGAUAUAUAUUUUAAUCUAGGAUACCGUACAUACAUACUGUGCACACGGUACACACUUAAAAAUAAUGUUACGAUUUGAGACACAAAUCUAAUCUGAAUUCUACAAUUAAGCAAAACAUACUAAAUCCAGAGUAACGUGAACUUGAUAUUAAGUAAAGUUUGCUCCGAAUUUUGUAUGGUUUGGUUAAUUUGGAAUCCAUGGGCUUUAUAAAAAAGUAGCAUUAUCUUUAAGAGUGUGGCAAGCAUCUACCGUAAGCGAUAUUUGACGUAAACGAAAAUUUCGCUAAAUGCAUUUGUAAAAAUGUUCGAGAAUACCAUAACACAAAUUUUGUAUGUUCCCAAAUCAAUUUACAUAUUCAUUGGGGGUAGGGAUUCCAAUCCCGGACGAUUUUUUAAAUCCCGGGAAUCGGGAAUCCCGGUUUUAGCCGUACAAAAUCCCGGGAAAUCCCGGGAUUUUUUCCCAGAAUUCAAAAAUUACCUCAUAACUUGAAAUAAGUUAAAUUUGGGUAUACGAAAAAGUACAGAAUAUAA
This is a long non-coding RNA of Folsomia candida, 1131 nucleotides long. RefSeq lists it as uncharacterized. The transcript is spliced from 4 exons. Lineage: Eukaryota; Metazoa; Arthropoda; Collembola; Entomobryomorpha; Isotomidae. The record is from RefSeq and is a predicted model, not a curated record.